This 473-nucleotide ribosomal RNA is filed under the name uncultured bacterium. Its description in RNAcentral is "bacterial SSU rRNA". It matches the Rfam family "Bacterial small subunit ribosomal RNA", at positions 328 to 793 of the family's 1533-position model. The record is from RNAcentral.
CGCCAUCACUCCUACGGGAGGCAGCAGUGGGGAAUAUUGCACAAUGGGCGCAAGCCUGAUGCAGCCAUGCCGCGUGUAUGAAGAAGGCCUUCGGGUUGUAAAGUACUUUCAGCAGUGAGGAAGGUGGUAGUGUUAAUAGCACUAUCAUUUGACGUUAGCUGCAGAAGAAGCACCGGCUAACUCCGUGCCAGCAGCCGCGGUAAUACGGAGGGUGCGAGCGUUAAUCGGAAUUACUGGGCGUAAAGCGCAUGCAGGUGGUUUGUUAAGUCAGAUGUGAAAGCCCGGGGCUCAACCUCGGAAUUGCAUUUGAAACUGGCAGACUAGAGUACUGUAGAGGGGGUAGAAUUUCAGGUGUAGCGGUGAAAAUGCGUAGAGAUCUGAAGGAAUACCGGUGGCGAAGGCGGCCCCCUGGACAGAUACUGACACUCAGAUGCGAAAGCGUGGGGAGCAAACAGGAUUAGAUACCCUGGUAG